RNAcentral lists this ribosomal RNA (924 nucleotides) under uncultured bacterium. Its description in RNAcentral is "bacterial SSU rRNA". It matches the Rfam family "Bacterial small subunit ribosomal RNA", at positions 1 to 917 of the family's 1533-position model. RNAcentral also lists the same sequence under 1 other name. The record is from RNAcentral.
UGGAUCCAGACCUUUAUUCUGGCUCAGGAUGAACGCUAGCUACAGGCUUAACACAUGCAAGUCGAGGGGCAGCGGGAUUGAAGCUUGCUUCAAUUGCCGGCGACCGGCGCACGGGUGAGUAACGCGUAUCCAACCUUCCGUACACUCAGGGAUAGCCUUUCGAAAGAAAGAUUAAUACCUGAUGGUAUGAUGAGAUUGCAUGAUAGCAUCAUUAAAGAUUUAUCGGUGUACGAUGGGGAUGCGUUCCAUUAGGUAGUAGGCGGGGUAACGGCCCACCUAGCCAACGAUGGAUAGGGGUUCUGAGAGGAAGGUCCCCCACAUUGGAACUGAGACACGGUCCAAACUCCUACGGGAGGCAGCAGUGAGGAAUAUUGGUCAAUGGACGAGAGUCUGAACCAGCCAAGUAGCGUGAAGGAUGAAGGUCCUACGGAUUGUAAACUUCUUUUAUAAGGGAAUAAACCCUCCCACGUGUGGGAGCUUGUAUGUACCUUAUGAAUAAGCAUCGGCUAACUCCGUGCCAGCAGCCGCGGUAAUACGGAGGAUGCGAGCGUUAUCCGGAUUUAUUGGGUUUAAAGGGAGCGCAGACGGGUCGUUAAGUCAGCUGUGAAAGUUUGGGGCUCAACCUUAAAAUUGCAGUUGAUACUGGCGUCCUUGAGUGCGGUUGAGGUGUGCGGAAUUCGUGGUGUAGCGGUGAAAUGCUUAGAUAUCACGAAGAACUCCGAUUGCGAAGGCAGCACACUAAUCCGUAACUGACGUUCAUGCUCGAAAGUGUGGGUAUCAAACAGGAUUAGAUACCCUGGUAGUCCACACGGUAAACGAUGGAUACUCGCUGUUGGCGAUAUACUGUCAGCGGCUUAGCGAAAGCGUUAAGUAUCCCACCUGGGGAGUACGCCGGCAACGGUGCAACUCAAAUGAAUUGACGGA